GACGAACGCUGGCGGCGUGCUUAACACAUGCAAGUCGAACGGUGAAGCGCCUUCCUUUUUGGUGGGUGUGGAUGAGUGGCGAACGGGUGAGUAACACGUGAGUAACCUGCCCCCUUCUUCUGGAUAACCGCAUGAAAGUGUGGCUAAUACGGGAUAUUCUGGGUCUGUCGCAUGAUGGGUCUGGGAAAGAUAUUGUUUCGGUGGGGGAUGGGCUCGCGGCCUAUCGGCUUGUUGGUGGGGUGAUGGCCUACCAAGGCGGUGACGGGUAGCCGGCCUGAGAGGGUGGACGGUCACACUGGGACUGAGACACGGCCCAGACUCCUACGGGAGGCAGCAGUGGGGAAUAUUGCACAAUGGGCGAAAGCCUGAUGCAGCGACGCCGCGUGAGGGAUGGAGGCCUUCGGGUUGUGAACCUCUUUCGCCAGUGAAGCAGGCCUGCCUCGUUUGUGGGUGGGUUGACGGUAGCCGGAUAAGAAGCGCCGGCUAACUACGUG
This 494-nucleotide ribosomal RNA is filed under the name uncultured bacterium. RNAcentral's name for it is "partial 16S ribosomal RNA". It matches the Rfam family "Bacterial small subunit ribosomal RNA", at positions 28 to 507 of the family's 1533-position model. The record is from RNAcentral.